This 434-nucleotide ribosomal RNA is filed under the name uncultured bacterium. RNAcentral's name for it is "partial 16S ribosomal RNA". It matches the Rfam family "Bacterial small subunit ribosomal RNA", at positions 29 to 507 of the family's 1533-position model. The record is from RNAcentral.
AGCGAACGCUGGCGGCAGGCCUAACACAUGCCAGUCGAACGAACCUUUCGGGGUUAGUGGCGGACGGGUGAGUAACACGUGGGAACGUGCCUUUAGGUUCGGAAUAACUCAGGGAAACUUGUGCUAAUACCGAAUGUGCCCUUCGGGGGAAAGAUUAAUCGCCUUUAGAGCGGCCCGCGUCUGAUUAGCUAGUUGGUUGAGGUAAUGGCUCACCAAGGCGACGAUCAGUAGCUGGUCUGAGAGGAUGAUCAGCCACAUUGGGACUGAGACACGGCCCAAACUCCUACGGGAGGCAGCAGUGGGGAGUCUUGCGCAAUGGGCGAAAGCCUGACGCAGCCAUGCCGCGUGAAUGAUGAAGGUCUUAGGAUUGUAAAAUUCUUUCACCGGGGACGAUAAUGACGGUACCCGGAGAAGAAGCCCCGGCUAACUUCGUG